This 264-nucleotide ribosomal RNA is filed under the name uncultured archaeon. RNAcentral describes it as "partial 16S ribosomal RNA". It matches the Rfam family "Archaeal small subunit ribosomal RNA", at positions 717 to 982 of the family's 1478-position model. The record is from RNAcentral.
ACACGACUACAUUAGAUACCCGCGUAGUCCCAGCUGUAAACUAUGUGCGUUAGGUGUGUCAGUGACCACGUGUCACUGAGGUGCCGUAGGGAAGCCGUGAAGCGAGCCACCUGGGAAGUACGGCCGCAAGGCUGAAACUUAAAGGAAUUGGCGGGGAGCACAACAACGGGUGGAGCUUGCGGUUUAAUUGGAUUCAACGCCGGAAAUCUUACCGGGACCGACAGCAACAUGAAGGCCAAGCUGAAGACUUUGCCGGAUUAGCUG